GCCAUGGCAAGACAUGAAAUCCAUUAGCUUUCCGAAUCCUAACCGAGAGAAGAACGUGAAAUGAAGUCAGCAGUAUCAUCACUGUUUAGCUCCAAGAAUCUCAAUCUCCACCAUUCUCCUUUCUCUCCUUCUCAUUAUCGCUCCUCCAUUUUACACUCCAAAUCGAUCGCUCACCUAUCUCCUACACUCUAUCACAACAUCAAGAAGAACACCACCUGCGAUUUCAUCAAUCUUAACCACAAGUUCAAAUUCCACUCUUCAUUUGCUCCAGUAAUGGCUUCCUCUUUCAAGCCUGAGCAAGCCAGGGCUCCUCCCGCCGUCCCCUUGCCCACUCCUCCCGUUACCAAGUUUAAGAUAGGGUUGUGCCAGUUACUGGUUACUGCGGAUAAGGACAGAAACAUUGCACAUGCUCGCAAAGCAAUCGAGGAGGCUGCCGGAAAGGGUGCCCAGCUAGUUGUCUUGCCCGAAAUAUGGAAUAGUCCUUAUUCCAAUGAUAGUUUCCCAGUUUAUGCUGAGGACAUAGAUGCGGGCAGCAAUGCGUCCCCUUCAACAGCCAUGCUUUCUGAAGUUGCUCGACUUCUGAAGAUCACCAUAGUUGGUGGCUCUAUCCCAGAACGUUCCGGGGAUCGGUUGUAUAAUACAUGUUGUGUCUUUGAUACCGAAGGAAAGUUGAUAGCCAAACACAGGAAGAUACACCUUUUUGAUAUUGACAUUCCCGGGAAGAUUACCUUUAUAGAGUCGAGGACUUUAACAGCAGGGCAGACUCCAACCAUUGUGGACACAGAAGUUGGUCGUAUUGGUAUAGGUAUCUGUUAUGACAUUCGAUUUCAAGAAUUGGCAAUGAUAUAUGCAGCAAGAGGUCUGUUUCUUCCUUCUAUUGACUGUAAUAUCCUUUUGGUAAUAUUUGUGGAUUUUGCCAGGUAAGCAUAAAUUUUCAUUACCAAUUUGCAAAUUUUAGGGGAUUAUAUCAGCAAUUAAAGUUCUUCCACAUUUUAAUCAGAAAUAUGAAUGUAUCUAUUAAUAUACUUGCAACUACACAAACCUUAAUAAACUUUUCAAUUCUGCUCAUGUUAAAUUGGCAGUGUCUACUUCUCUGAUUUCAACAUUUCUAAAGUAAGGAUCAUGAAUUUGUGAAGACACUAUGUACUAUUUAGUCUAUGUAUGAUGCUUUUGAUUAAGUUAUUGUUUUAGCGUCAUAACCUUUUUUCCCCCUUUUGUUUAUGCUCUCUGAUUACCUCUAUACUUUAAUUUUGGUCUUCUUAUGCCUUCCAUUGGUUUAAAUGUCAGAUCGGUGUGUUGGUAAUUAUGUUGUUUUAUCAGUUUCAUUAAUGAACUGAACACUGAUGGUAGUGUCAUCAUAUUGUUGAUGUCAGGAGCUCACUUGAUUUGCUACCCUGGGGCGUUUAACAUGACAACUGGACCGUUACACUGGGAGUUACUGCAGAGAGCAAGGUGCUAUUAUAUUCAGUUAUUUUCAGUUUGCAGAAAUCAUCUCUGUGAUAAAUUUUUGUGCUGUUAGUCAAUGUGCUAAAUCUAGCACCCAGGGAGAGAAUGUUUGGUGUCAGUGACUGCAGAGAGUAUAUGACAUGAUAUUUUGUUAUUAUUAUUAAUGUAAAUAUUUUAGAGCCACUUAAGUGACAGAAUAAUAUGGGAAUUUUUCCUCCAAAGGAUUUAGGUGAUGCAGAGCAGAACUAUUUUUUUUUUCUGUGGAAACUGUCUUUGAGAAUAUCUUUAUUAUCUGCAAAAGGCAUUUGACUUGUCAUUUAUUUUAAUUGCGCAUCCUGCUAUUAGAAGAGGAAAAAAUUCAAGACAUAGUGCAUUUAUAUUAAUGGCGUGCCCAUUAUUAUGCAUGGUCUAGUAUUAGUAGGAGUUGUUCUCAUAAACUACUAACACUAGAUGUAUGCUUAUGUUCCCUUUAACAUGUUAUUUUCCAGGAUGAGGUUAUGAACGUCCUCUUCCCAAAGUCUCUCACUCCUUUGUUAGUUCAGUUAUUCUAUGACUAAAAUGUAGAGUGUGGUCUUUGCUGUUUGUAUCUGUAUGUGAUCAUUUAAUCUUUAUACUGAUUUUUACCUUGCUUUUUAAUGUGCAGGGCUGCAGAUAAUCAGGUAAAGUAGUAAACUUCCUUUUGCUGUGUUUCUGGUCAAAGUUGUUGCUCUCUUUGGGAGACAGAUAUAGCAUAGACAGAAGUUGAAUGCUUAAACCAAAAUAUGGUCACAAAUUCAGUUCCCACUGUCUCCACCUGUAUAAUCAAAUAUAUCACCUAGGACACCAAAUAUGAUGUGGUAAUUUUCUUAAUCUGUGACAACCAAUGCUUCCUAUGCCUGCAGGGGACUGCACUCACAUUUUACUUAUGCUGCAUGCCUUUGGUUCAGUUUUUUUUCUUUUCUUCCCGUUGGGAAGGGGGGGUGGGGGGUGGUGUGGUUUGGGUUGUAUUUUGUGUGGAUGAGGGGCUGGAUUGGAUCAUUAGAAAACCAGAUAAUUCUAUUAUAGUAUACUUUUGAAAUAUGCAAGAUGACCAUUUUAUCUUUCUUAAUGGACAUACAGCAAAUUAGCUAAUUAAAGAAAACAACAAAAUUAUGUUCUAAAUGAUAGUCUGGGCAUUCAUAAGAUGGAAAAAAGGAGCAUAUCAAGUUGGGUGAAUAAUUCUAGUUAUCUUCUUCCAGUCUAAACUUGUGUCCUUUUUCUUGGUCAGCUUGUUCUUGCUUAGUCCUGGAAAAGGAUAUAUAUAUAUACAGAGCUGUGCUGGAAAGAUUUGCAUGACUUUUUUCCUUCUCUUUUGUAAUGCAAUCGCAUGUAUUUUCAUGUGUCAGAUUUAUCUUAGAUUGAAUACUUUCUCACAGCAUUUUUAUGGUAAUUUUUUAAUGGCAGUUAUAUGUAGCAACUUGUUCCCCUGCUCGAGAUGUUGGAGCUGGUUAUGUGGCUUGGGGCCACUCCACCCUAGUAGGACCAUUUGGAGAAGUUCUGGCUACUACUGAGCAUGACCAGGAUAUAAUCAUAGCAGAGAUCGAUUAUUCUCUAAUUGAGCUGAGAAGGACAAGCCUUCCCUUGACGAAGCAACGGAGAGGUGAUCUUUACCAGUUGGUGGACGUCCAGAGGCUGAACUCUCAAUCAUGAUGACAGGAUACUGCUGCAACAGAUGGGAGUUGACUGAGAAAGCAGUUAUUUGUUCAGGAACAGUUGUUCUUUGCUUUAGUUAUGUAAAAAAUGUGUUGAAUAAUGCAGAGAAAUUAGUCACUGAGUUGAAAUAAUUGCCAAAAAAAAAACCCUCAUUUCAUCAUGUGUGUACUCGGUGCUAAAAGCGAAGAUUGAAUUGAUAAAUUGGCAUAUGAGAAGUCUGGCGGUACCUUCUUCACGUUUUAUUAUGAUUUAUUUAAUCCUUAUACUAGGCCUAAUCUAAGCCCACUAAAAAAUACAAUA
This 3417-nucleotide unclassified non-coding RNA is filed under the name Hevea brasiliensis (rubber tree). The record is from RNAcentral. Lineage: Eukaryota; Viridiplantae; Streptophyta; Magnoliopsida; Malpighiales; Euphorbiaceae.